UAAGGAAUAUUGGACAAUGGGGGCAACCCUGAUCCAGCCAUGCCGCGUGAAGGAUGAAGGCCCUCUGGGUUGUAAACUUCUUUUGUACGGGAAUAAACCCUUGGUCGUGACCGAGGUUGAAUGUACCGUAAGAAUAAGGAUCGGCUAACUUCGUGCCAGCAGCCGCGGUAAUACGAAGGAUCCAAGCGUUAUCCGGAUUUAUUGGGUUUAAAGGGUGCGUAGGCGGGCUAUUAAGUCAGUGGUGAAAGCCCCGAGCUUAACUCGGGAACUGCCAUUGAUACUGAUGGUCUUGAGUACACUUGAGGUGGGCGGAAUGUGUCAUGUAGCGGUGAAAUGCUUAGAUAUGACACAGAACACCGAUUGCGAAGGCAGCUCACUAAAUUGUAACUGACGCUGAGGCACGAAAGCGUGGGGAUCAAACAGGAUUAGAUACCCCGGUAGUCC
Molecule: ribosomal RNA, 444 nt
Filed under: uncultured bacterium
Lineage: Bacteria
Description: bacterial SSU rRNA
Rfam family: Bacterial small subunit ribosomal RNA
Source: RNAcentral